Oryza sativa Japonica Group (Japanese rice) is the source of this 194-nucleotide microRNA precursor. It matches the Rfam family "MIR812 microRNA precursor family". The record is from Rfam. Lineage: Eukaryota; Viridiplantae; Streptophyta; Magnoliopsida; Poales; Poaceae.
UAUAAGUGCAGUUAUGAUUUUUUAUGUCCAACGUUUAACCGUCUGUCUUAUUUGAAAGAAAAUUAUGAUUAGUAUUUUUAUUUCAUUAGAUGAUAAAUCAUGAAUAAUACUUUAUGUGUGACUUUUUUUUUUAAUUUAUUCAAAUAAGACAUACGAUCAAACGUUAGACACGGAAACUAAUAACUGCACUUAUA